GCCCCCUCCGAUGUUAAAUGAAUCAGGGCGGCGCCCUCGCGGGAGCUGAGCCACGUUGGAUGCGUCUCUCUGGAACAGAUGUGAUGCAACCCAGUGGCUGACAUGUCCGAAGGGGGCAGAGUGAGCGGCUCAGUGCAGUAGCUCUGUGCCGCGCAGCCAGUUUUCGCUAUCAUGACCUUGUCAACUGACUGCCACUCAAGUCAGACCUCCGAGGGUUUCUGCUUCCUUAGCUGAGGCCGGAGCUGUGACGGACACGAAAAUUUUCCCCUGCUACGCACCUCCCCGGAGGUGCCACAUGGCAGACCUAUACAGGAUCUUCUACAACAGGAUCGACUGGUCCAUCGCGACACUGUCUACCACUAGAUGGGAUGACAACGGAACAAUCUCGAUGGCAACUGAGAAAACAAAGGAGAACACAGUUGAAAGUUAUGGAAAAUGUAAAUGUAAGGGAAUAUCGAGAUUUUUGUACAAACUACAAUUCGAACUAAAGAAAACAAUUAACUUUUUAAAUGAACAUCAAGUGUUCUAUCAAGUGUUGUCUCUCUAGUGGUUAUGGAGCUUUUGAUUGCCAUCACAUACAUUUCAUCAAUGUCAAGUUUGACCAGUGCUCCGUUAGUUGUGGAUUUCUAGAAAACCUUGUUUUAUUGUAAAACAAAGACCUCUAAAUAAAUGAUCUUCUUAAAAAUGUCUGUAUGGCUUUCAGAGGUGUCUCGUAAUGGUUUGCAUCCCAUCUCAUGCAUGUUUAUUGGAAUAGGUCCUCCCAGGACUGGACAUCUCCCGGAAUAGGCCUUCUCUUCUCAGGGCCCACGCUACACACUCUAAUUUCCUUUUGAGCGGCCUUAAAACAGGCGGAUCAGACCUCCAUGCUUUAUUCUUGAUGGACACAGCGCUGUGGAUGAUGAUGGGGAAACAUGUUUACCCGUGGGUAUCGUGACUACACGCCCUGUGAGGGUGUGCUCAGCUGAGACAUUUUGUCCUGCUGAGAGUAUUCUUCACAAUGUGAGGGGGGGUUGUCAUCAGAUGGGCUAUGUGACAGCAGUCCACAGAAAUGGCUAUAUUUCCCACAAGUACUAUAUUUCCCACAAGUACUGAUAUGAAGAAUUAAAUAUCAAUAUUUAGCUUAGUUGAGGUGUAUCUUGAAUUCCCUGCAGGAAUAUAAUGCUGCAAUGUUUUCAUCGUCAUAUUUAGUGAUUUGGUGAUUAACAUCUGGUAGUAUGCACAGUGCCGAUACUCAAAGUUACCUCCAAAUGUUUUUUUAGCACCAGCCAAAGUUUGCCAUACAUUGUAUGAUCG
Molecule: long non-coding RNA, 1293 nt
Organism: Pungitius pungitius (ninespine stickleback)
Lineage: Eukaryota; Metazoa; Chordata; Actinopteri; Perciformes; Gasterosteidae
Exons: 3
Source: RefSeq, a predicted model, not a curated record